This is a long non-coding RNA of Pyrus x bretschneideri (Chinese white pear), 403 nucleotides long. RefSeq lists it as uncharacterized. NCBI's taxonomy places the organism in Eukaryota, Viridiplantae, Streptophyta, Magnoliopsida, Rosales, Rosaceae. The transcript is spliced from 3 exons. The record is from RefSeq and is a predicted model, not a curated record.
CCUUUCUUUUCGAAAACUCCUCCCUUUCUCUCUUCUUCUUCCCCGUGACAACACACACACACACACACAAAUACCCACAGUCGCACAACUCAGGAAGAGUCACCAUCAUCGCCGUUGAAAUGCUUCUCUCUCUCUUUCUCUCUCCCCUGCUCGCGGUGCCGGAGUACGUCGAGCAUCUCCGGCAAAUUUUAGCUUGUUUUCCGGUUGGGUUUUGGAGUGCUUUGGCACGGGUGAAGGCACCCAAAUUUUCCGGCGAGUGUGUGUGGUUUCCGAGGGAUUUUCCGGCCACCACAAGCCGUUACACGGUGAACCCAAGGUGCGAUUCUUAGCGGAGAUUUCGUUACUCCUGUUUGGUACGGCUUGCACCAUCAGUGUACGGUGAGUGGACCCCUUCUAAAAAUGC